This 409-nucleotide unclassified non-coding RNA is filed under the name uncultured fungus. Its description in RNAcentral is "sequence contains ITS1". The record is from RNAcentral. Lineage: Eukaryota; Fungi.
UUAAAUAUGUAAUAAUACUCUGACAAUAAUAUAAGGGAUUAAGAGGUCCUCUGACAAGCACUAACCAGCCAAAGCCAGUAGUUAUAAAACAGGCCUGCCAAAGCAACAAAGAUAUUGUAAACAAAGGGUGGGAGAUAUACCCCAAGGGGCAUGUUCUCUGUAAUGAUCCUUCCGCAGGUUCACCUACGGAACGCAAACUCUACUGAUUUUUACAAGAGUAGGCCGGUCAUAUCUAAAUCCUAUCUACAGCUAUAGAACUAACCAGGUAGUAAUAGCUAAAGACCACCUUUGUUUGAUCUGUGAACUACAAUUAGUAGCUGCUUGUUACCUAGAGGUAUCCAAGCACAUUAAAGGUGUUGCCUAUACAAUAGACUGAAAUCAAGGCUUCAGUAUGGUGUGUUUUAUGAAA